UACGUAGGGGGCUAGCGUUGUCCGGAAUCAUUGGGCGUAAAGAGCGUGUAGGCGGCCCGGUAAGUCCGCUGUGAAAGCCCGGGGCUCAACCCCGGAGGGUCGACCGAUACUGGCAGACUAGAGUACAGAAGAGGUAACUGGAAUUCCCGGUGUAGCGGUGAAAUGCGUAGAUAUCAUUUGGAACGCCAAUGGUGAAAACAGGUAGCUGGGGCUGUGCUGACGCUGAGACACGAAAGCCAGGGGAGCAAACGGG
RNAcentral lists this ribosomal RNA (253 nucleotides) under uncultured bacterium. Its description in RNAcentral is "partial 16S ribosomal RNA". It matches the Rfam family "Bacterial small subunit ribosomal RNA", at positions 524 to 776 of the family's 1533-position model. The record is from RNAcentral.